AUUGAACGCUGGCGGCAUGCCUUACACAUGCAAGUCGAACGGUAACGGGCCUUCGGGUGCCGACGAGUGGCGCACGGGUGAGUAAUACAUCGGAACGUGCCCGAUCGUGGGGGAUAACGAGGCGAAAGCUUUGCUAAUACCGCAUACGAUCUACGGAUGAAAGCAGGGGACCGCAAGGCCUUGCGCGGACGGAGCGGCCGAUGGCAGAUUAGGUAGUUGGUGGGAUAAAAGCUUACCAAGCCGACGAUCUGUAGCUGGUCUGAGAGGAUGAUCAGCCACACUGGGACUGAGACACGGCCCAGACUCCUACGGGAGGCAGCAGUGGGGAAUUUUGGACAAUGGGCGCAAGCCUGAUCCAGCCAUGCCGCGUGAAGGAUGAAGGCCUUCGGGUUGUAAACUGCUUUUGUACGGAACGAAAAGCCUUCUUUUAAUACAGGAGGGUCAUGACGGUACCGUAAGAAUAAGCACCGGCUAACUACGUG
Molecule: ribosomal RNA, 482 nt
Filed under: uncultured bacterium
Lineage: Bacteria
Description: partial 16S ribosomal RNA
Rfam family: Bacterial small subunit ribosomal RNA
Source: RNAcentral